AAAGCGUGAGGGAUUUGUUUAGCUAAACACUUUUCAGGCAAAAUACAUUUGAACAAGAAAAAGAGAUUCAGUGAAGAGAUGGAAAAAUUUUAAACAAACGCAUCAAUAAUCAACUGGAAGAACUAAUUUGUUUCAAAAAACCUUACCGACAACAAUUGCACCACUACAGUAGUCGAUUUCCCAACCAGCCUUCCAUAUAGAAUCCCUCCCGAAUCAGCCUUUGCCACUCAAAGGUCGAAGUCAGUCAACCACUCACAGGUCCAAAUCGAAGUCGAAAUCACCAUUACUUUGGCUAGAUUAUACAUACCCAAAGGAAGGGAUUAUCGUUUAAUCCUUCGAUUUUUAAAUCUGAGGAGCUUCUGGUUUUAAGAAGUGAGUGAGGGUUCAUUUGGUGGUCGAGAAAGAGAACAGCGUGUGUCACUUGGACCUUAAAAUCCAAAAUUGAACCCAGUUCUGGAACCAGUUAAGAGCAGUGUGUGAAAAGGCCUGUGACACAAAUGAACAGUAAUUUCCAAAGUCAGUCUUUUAAGAGAAAACUAGUGAUGGGCCUUGCGUUGCAC
This 560-nucleotide long non-coding RNA is filed under the name Olea europaea (common olive). RNAcentral describes it as "long non-coding RNA (OEUR_LNC008417)". The record is from RNAcentral. Lineage: Eukaryota; Viridiplantae; Streptophyta; Magnoliopsida; Lamiales; Oleaceae.